RNAcentral lists this ribosomal RNA (301 nucleotides) under uncultured bacterium. Its description in RNAcentral is "partial 16S ribosomal RNA". It matches the Rfam family "Bacterial small subunit ribosomal RNA", at positions 509 to 807 of the family's 1533-position model. The record is from RNAcentral.
CAGUAGCCACGGUAAUACGAGGGGGGCAAGCGUUGUUCGGAAUUAUUGGGCGUAAAGGGCGCGUAGGCGGUUUGGCAAGUUUGGUGUGAAAUCUUCGGGCUCAACUCGAAGUCUGCACCGAAAACUGCCGGGCUUGAGUAUGGGAGAGGUGAGUGGAAUUUCCGGUGUAGCGGUGAAAUGCGUAGAUAUCGGAAGGAACACCUGUGGCGAAAGCGGCUCACUGGACCAUUACUGACGCUGAGGCGCGAAAGCUAGGGGAGCAAACAGGAUUAGAUACCCCGGUAGUCCCUGUCUCUUAUAC